This 611-nucleotide long non-coding RNA is filed under the name Chinchilla lanigera (long-tailed chinchilla). RNAcentral describes it as "lncRNA (ENSCLAG00000024458.1)". The record is from RNAcentral. Lineage: Eukaryota; Metazoa; Chordata; Mammalia; Rodentia; Chinchillidae.
ACAUCUUUAAAAAAACAAAUUACAUGUGGCCCACAGUAGUAAACAAAGUGAACAACAACCGAGCUAUAGCAUAAUAAGCAGGACUUUAUAGGUAAUCUAAUCCAUAUAUUCUCAAAUUUGGGCCAGACUUUAGACACUACCCUUUAAAAAAAGUUAUUAGCCAUCGAAAGGAUAGUAUUAUUCUCCACAGUCAACUUUAAAUUUACUCAGAAGCCACCAGCCCAUUCCCCAAGUGUCACUGAUUUUUAGGUUAACCCAGACUUAAGAAUGCUGCCACAGUAGCUUACCAAAGAAGAGAGGACACAAUGACAAUCUUAGUCCUGUUAUGUGACCUAAGAACCUAAACUGAAUUGGAAGGUACCGAGGAAAACUUCUGCCCCACAAGGGGAAUAGACAAGCUGCUGAGGCAGGAGGACCACCAGUUCAAGCUCAGCCUGGGCAACUUAGCGAUUUAGCAAGACCGUGUCUCAAAGUACGUAAAAGAAACUUUUAAAAAGUCUGCAGAUAUGGCUCAGUGAGAAGACCCUGGAUUCAAUCCUCAGUACUGUAGAAACAAAACCUAAACCAAACUGAAACAAAACAUCUGUGAAAAUGAUCACCUCGGGCAAAGG